UACGAAGGGGGCUAGCGUUGUUCGGAAUCACUGGGCGUAAAGCGCACGUAGGCGGAUUUUUAAGUCAGGGGUGAAAUCCCGAGGCUCAACCUCGGAACUGCCUUUGAUACUGGGGAUCUGGAGUCCGGGAGAGGUGAGCGGAACUGCGAGUGUAGAGGUGAAAUUCGUAGAUAUUCGCAAGAACACCAGUGGCGAAGGCGGCUACCUGGAUUGAUACUGACACUGAGGCGCGAGAGCGUGGGGAGCAAACAGG
RNAcentral lists this ribosomal RNA (253 nucleotides) under uncultured bacterium. RNAcentral's name for it is "partial 16S ribosomal RNA". It matches the Rfam family "Bacterial small subunit ribosomal RNA", at positions 524 to 776 of the family's 1533-position model. The record is from RNAcentral.